This 702-nucleotide ribosomal RNA is filed under the name Pectobacterium carotovorum subsp. carotovorum. RNAcentral describes it as "bacterial SSU rRNA". It matches the Rfam family "Bacterial small subunit ribosomal RNA", at positions 81 to 782 of the family's 1533-position model. Lineage: Bacteria; Pseudomonadati; Pseudomonadota; Gammaproteobacteria; Enterobacterales; Pectobacteriaceae. The record is from RNAcentral.
CGUACAUUGAGUAGCGGCGGACGGGUGAGUAAUGUCUGGGAAACUGCCUGAUGGAGGGGGAUAACUACUGGAAACGGUAGCUAAUACCGCAUAACGUCUUCGGACCAAAGAGGGGGACCUUCGGGCCUCUUGCCAUCAGAUGUGCCCAGAUGGGAUUAGCUAGUAGGUGAGGUAAUGGCUCACCUAGGCGACGAUCCCUAGCUGGUCUGAGAGGAUGACCAGCCACACUGGAACUGAGACACGGUCCAGACUCCUACGGGAGGCAGCAGUGGGGAAUAUUGCACAAUGGGCGCAAGCCUGAUGCAGCCAUGCCGCGUGUGUGAAGAAGGCCUUCGGGUUGUAAAGCACUUUCAGCGGGGAGGAAGGCGGUGAGGUUAAUAACCUCAUCGAUUGACGUUACCCGCAGAAGAAGCACCGGCUAACUCCGUGCCAGCAGCCGCGGUAAUACGGAGGGUGCAAGCGUUAAUCGGAAUGACUGGGCGUAAAGCGCACGCAGGCGGUUUGUUAAGUCAGAUGUGAAAUCCCCGAGCUUAACUUGGGAACUGCAUUUGAAACUGGCAAGCUAGAGUCUUGUAGAGGGGGGUAGAAUUCCAGGUGUAGCGGUGAAAUGCGUAGAGACUGGAGGAAUACCGGUGGCGAAGGCGGCCCCCUGGACAAAGACUGACGCUCAGGUGCGAAAGCGUGGGGAGCAAACAGAUCAGA